Molecule: ribosomal RNA, 451 nt
Filed under: Neisseria mucosa
Lineage: Bacteria; Pseudomonadati; Pseudomonadota; Betaproteobacteria; Neisseriales; Neisseriaceae
Description: bacterial SSU rRNA
Rfam family: Bacterial small subunit ribosomal RNA
Source: RNAcentral
AGUCGGACGGCAGCGGGGUAGUGCUUGCACUACUGCCGGCGAGUGGCGAACGGGUGAGUAACAUAUCGGAACGUACCGAGCAGUGGGGGAUAACUAAUCGAAAGAUUAGCUAAUACCGCAUAUCUUCUGAGGAAGAAAGCAGGGGACCUUUGGGCCUUGCGCUGUUUGAGCGGCCGAUAUCUGAUUAGCUGGUUGGUGGGGUAAAGGCCUACCAAGGCGACGAUCAGUAGCGGGUCUGAGAGGAUGAUCCGCCACACUGGGACUGAGACACGGCCCAGACUCCUACGGGAGGCAGCAGUGGGGAAUUUUGGACAAUGGGGGCAACCCUGAUCCAGCCAUGCCGCGUGUCUGAAGAAGGCCUUCGGGUUGUAAAGGACUUUUGUCCGGGAAGAAAAGCGCGAUGUUAAUACCAUUGCGUGCUGACGGUACCGGAAGAAUAAGCACCGGCUAA